This 4398-nucleotide ribosomal RNA is filed under the name Triticum aestivum (bread wheat). Its description in RNAcentral is "partial small subunit ribosomal RNA". Lineage: Eukaryota; Viridiplantae; Streptophyta; Magnoliopsida; Poales; Poaceae. The record is from RNAcentral.
AUGUACGCCGCCCUCAGCACGGCGCAAUGGGUUGUGGGCAAGGCGCUGGCCCCCGUUGCAGAUGGCGUGCUGGGGGCUUGGGCAGCCGCCAGGAACUUUGGUCCUAACGUCGAGGCCCUCAGCAUGGAACUGCUGCUCGUGAAGGCCACACUCGAGCAAGCUGCCCUCAAGGAGCUUGGUGGGCCCGCCAUGGAGACGCUGCUGCAGAAGCUGCAGGAUUUGGCGCACAAUGCUGAAGACUUACUGGACGAGCUGGACUACUUCCGCAUCCACGACAAGCUCCACAACACGGACGAUGCUGCCGACCAGCACGGCAAGGGUGGCGUCCACGACCUCGCCUUCAAUGCUCGCCACACCGCCAAAGCUGUUGGCAAAAUGGUCAGCUGUUGCCCUUGGCAGCAUGCUAAGCGCCAACAGAGGUCAUGCGGCAGCUCCUCAUUGUCGCCAGGCGCUAAAAGUGAGGUCAGCGGAUGCCUGCCCAAGCUGAGUAAACUCCUCCCUUCUUCAUCUUCCCCACGUCCACCUUUUGGUGAUGACGAUCGUGACAAUGCACAAGAUACCCCAGAGCUCGAGUUUAAUAGGGUUGAUUUCUCUCAAAAGAUGAAGGCCGUCACAGAAAAAUUGCAGCUUAUGCGCAAUGAGGUUAACAAGAUUCUACAGGGUUGUGGCCCUAGAAUUGUCCUAGACAUUGCCCAGAGUCGUCCCAUCACCCGAGCUAAGAGUACAGAGCCAAAGCUGUAUGGGAGAGACCAUGUCAUGAAUAGCAUCAUACAUGAUAUCACCAAGGGUCAAUAUUGUGACAAGGGUCUAACCGUGCUUCCAGUUGUUGGUCCCGGGGGAAUGGGAAAGACAACUCUCAUACAAUACAUAUAUAACAACCAACAAGUGCAGAAUCAUUUUUCAGUCAAGAUUUGGAUAUGUGUGUCAUUCAAUUUCAAUCUGGAUAAGGUGCUAGAAGAGAUUAAAAGAUAUACCCCUGCAGUUGAAAGUGAAAAAAAGUGUAGCACAACUGAAGAGCUGAUUGAACAAAGAUUAAAAUGUAAAAGGUUCUUACUUGUAUUGGAUGAUAUAUGGCAGAUUAGUAACGGGGAUGACUGGAAAAAACUAUUGUUGACACUCGGUCAAUCGCAAGAAAAGGGUUCCAUGAUUCUAGUCACAACUCGGCUUAAAAACAUAGCAGAGCAAGUUAAAACAACUGACUGUCCAAAAGAAUUGAAUGGUUUAGAGCACGAAGAGUUUAACAAGUUAUUUCUUGCAUUUGUCUUUGAUGAUGGGCAAUAUCCAAGGGACAAACAAUUUCUUCUCGAGACCGGAGAUAAGAUAAUGGAAAAACUAAAGGGCUCCCCUCUUGCAGCAAAGACUGUUGGUAGAUUACUGAGUAAAGAACAUAGUUUGUAUCAUUGGAAAAGGGUCCUCAAAAGUAAAGAAUGGGAAAAGCAAACCGAUGGAAUUAUGUCUGCCUUGAGGCUUAGCUAUGACUUUCUCCCUUUCCAUCUGCAGCAAUGUUUUUCCUAUUCUGCAUUAAUUCCUGAAGAUAUGUAUAUGAAUAGCUAUGAUCUCAUCAGCCUGUGGAUUGGACUAGAUAUUUUGAUACCUAGUGAUCAAAAUCAAACAUUUGAAGAUAUAGGUUUGAGCAAUUUAAAUGAGUUAGUCAAUUAUGGAUUUUUCAGGGAAGAGGAAACUGAUGGUGAUCAGCGGUAUGUUAUGCAUGACCUAUUACAUGAUUUGGCAGUGAAGGUUGCAUCGCAUGAUUGUCUUUGUUUACGUCUCCCUAAUGUUGGAUCAGUGGAAAUUCAGCCAACCACCCAACACUUGUCUAUAAGCACACAUGACUUAGGAAAAUAUGAUGCAGUGUCAGGUGAAAAAUUAAGAAGUGAAUUGGAAGAACUGAAGACAAAAUUGAAUGUUGAACAUUUGCACACAUUGAUGGUAUUUGGUAAAAUGGAUGGAAGUUUUGCCAAGAUCUUUGGUGAUUUUCUUUGGGAAGCAAAUACUCUUCACGUUCUUUAUUUGCUUGACAUGACGUAUCCCAUGGAGUCCAUGAUACAUAACUUUUCAAGACUUGUCCACCUACGAUGCCUAUGUCUAGGGACAUGUGACAGAGAGAUGCAUUUACCACUCAACAUCUCUAAAUUUUACCAUUUAAGGGUUCUAGAUCUUGAGCAAUGGUGUGGGAGUUCUGAUUUGCCCAGAGACAUGAGCAAUCUUGCAAAACUGUGCCAUAUUCAUGCCAGAAGUGAGCUUCAUUCAGAUAUUUAUAAUGUGGGAAAACUUAAACUCUUAGAAGAGUUGAAGGUAUUUCGAGUCAAUAAAAAAAGUGAAGGAUUUGAACCAAAGCAACUAGAGCAUUUAAGCAAGCUCAGGGAGCUUGUCAUCUAUAACCUGGAGAGAAUUCAUACAAAAGAAGAAGCAGCUCAAGCAAAAUUGAUGGAGAAAAGAUACUUGAGGAGGUUAACAUUGGACUGGGACAGUAAUCGAUCUAGUCUUGAGCCUGGUGUGGAAGCAGCGGUUCUUGAGAGCCUUCAACCUCAUGGAGAUCUUCAAGUGUUGUGCAUUAGAGGGCAUGGAGGUCCUUCUUGUCCAACAUGGCUGGGUGAUGAGUUCGCUGUUGAAGCUCUACAAUCUCUUUUUCUGGAUGAUGUUUCUUGGGAAGUUUUCCCUUCUUUAGGGAAGGCGUGGGAUCUUCGUGAAUUAUGUUUUGAGGAUAUUGACAGACUGAAGGAGUUUAUCAUAGUGAAAAGCUUUUGCAUGCUAACAAAGCUUAUACUCAUUGGCCUUGGAAGUUUUGAAAAAUGGGUUUACACAGGUGGAGACUUGUUGCCACCGGAUGCUCAUAUGUUCCCUCUUUUGCAAGUUCUGGUCAUUAGGAAGUGCCCAAAACUGUUGGGGUUGCCUUUCUCAAACCACAUUGUUUCCCCAGAUUGGUUCCCUAAGCUACAAGAGCUUGAGGUAAGCGACUGCCCCGAAUUCUUGCCAGUGAUUCACAUCUCCCGGAUCGAAAGGCUGCAUUCUGUCACGAUGAAAUGUGUAAAGAUGCUAAAGGAGUUUGCAUACUCGAAAUCAUCCGGUGGAGCAGAGUUGAAAAUUACCGGAGAGAGUGAUCUUCUUAGCUUAGACCAAGUGCUGGUUUUUGAUAAAGAAACAGUUACAGAGAAGCUGACACUCGAGAGGUGCCCACCUCUGGGGUUGAAGCACCUUCUGAUGCUAACCUCGCUGAGGACAUUGAUUGUACAAGAUUCAGUUGGUCUAGUUGGACCACCAGGAGGAGGUCAGAGUGAUGUGGAAUGGCAACUCCCUGUUGAGUAUAUCAAGAUCAACGACUUAAAUGGUAAUAGUGGGAAGGAAUUGACAGAGCUCCUCCCCCACCUCCCAAAGCUCUCCAAUUUGGAGAUAUCGAAUUGUAAACACAUAAAAAAGCUGGUAGUGGGGGUGGAUGUGCAACAAACAACAUCAGAAGCAUCAGAGAUGGGGGGAGGUGAAAUAACAGCAGCAGCAGCAGCAGAGGAACACGAUGAUGGGGUGCUGCUCUUCCCAGCUCAUCUGUGUGACUCACUACAGGAAUUGGACUUCAGUAGCUGCUCAGAGCUGGUCCUGGUGGACCCGCCAACUCUUGUUCCUGGUGGAGGAGGAUGGCUCCAAGCCUUGCGAUCCCUCAAAAGAUUAACAAUACGGUGGUCCCCAAAGUUUCUAUCCACCUUCUCGUUUUCCCAUCACCUUUUACCUUCCUCCCUGCAGUUCCUGAAACUCUCGGAUGUGAAAGGCAUGGGGACACUGGAGCCCCUCUCAAACCUCUCCUCUCUCACCACAUUACAAUUGCUUAGUUGUGGAGAGGAUCUGAAAUGUCAGGGCUUGCAGUCUCUCCUUACUACUGGGGGCCAGCUCAAUGAAUUAAAAGUCGCUGGCAGCCCUAGAUUCUUUGCUGAUUGGGAUCCUAAUUCUGGACGGGCUUUGAAGGAUGCUGAGGGAGGUGAAGAGCAGCAGACACAGCAUGUUUCAUCCACACUGCAUGAGCUCUGGACAGAUGACAUAGCAGGACUUCUUGCUGCACCCAUCUGCAGAUUCCUCUCUUCCUCCCUCACCAAGCUGCAACUUCGGGGGGAUUGGUGUGAAGGGAUGGAGCGGUUCAUCAAGGAGCAGGAGGACGCCCUUCAACUCUUCUCCUCCCUCCAGAAACUAGUGUUUUGGAAUUUCAAGGACCUUCAACAACUCCCUGCAGGGCUGCGUAACCUUACCAGCCUCAAGAUAUUAUCAGUCAACCUCUGUCCAGCCAUCUUGUCCUUGCCCAACGAUGGCCUCCCGGAUUCGCUGGAAAUGCUAGAUGUCUACAAAUGCAGCGAGGAGCUAAAACAGCAGUGCAGGGGGUUGGAGGGAACCAUCCCAAGAGUCCAUAUACUCUGA